RNAcentral lists this ribosomal RNA (253 nucleotides) under uncultured bacterium. Its description in RNAcentral is "partial 16S ribosomal RNA". It matches the Rfam family "Bacterial small subunit ribosomal RNA", at positions 524 to 776 of the family's 1533-position model. The record is from RNAcentral.
UACGUAGGGGGCGAGCGUUGUCCGGAGUUACUGGGCGUAAAGCGCACGCAGGCGGUCUGCUAAGUUUGGAGUGACAGUUGGUGGCUUAACUGCCAAAGUGCUUCGAAAACUGACAGACUUGAGGGCUUCAGAGGGACACGGAAUUCCGGGUGGAGUGGUGAAAUGCGUAGAGAUCAGGAGGAACACCAAUAGCGAAGGCAGCUCGCUGGGACGUUACUGACACUGAGGCGCGAAAGCGUGGGGAGCGAACAGG